Molecule: ribosomal RNA, 244 nt
Filed under: uncultured bacterium
Lineage: Bacteria
Description: partial 16S ribosomal RNA
Rfam family: Bacterial small subunit ribosomal RNA
Source: RNAcentral
GCUACCACGCGAGUGGAUGCCAAUCCCUAAAACCCCUCCUCAGUUCGGACUGGAGUCUGCAACCCGACUCCACGAAGCUGGAUUCGCUAGUAAUCGCGCAUCAGCCACGGCGCGGUGAAUACGUUCCCGGGCCUUGUACACACCGCCCGUCAAGCCAUGGGAGCCGGGGGUACCUGAAGUGCGUAACCGCGAGGAUCGCCCUAGGGUAAAACUGGUGACUGGGGCUAAGUCGUAACAAGGUAGC